UCUUCUUCCUCCCAAUCUAAACUCCCAUUUCUUCCUCUUCUGCAAAUAAGAAACCAUAGUUUAUUAAAAAUUCUUCGACACAUGGAAAUCAAAUCUUCGAUACAGAUCCAAUUUUAUUAUUAAUCAAAAAACCUUCCCCCUCUCUCAAUUUCACUAUUCCCAAUUUCCACCCCUUCUAAAACAUGAAUCAAUAAAGAGGCAAUUGUUUUUAUUUCUAAAAAUCCUUCUUCAAUCACUUAUAAAGGUCAAAGCUUUGGUACUAAUUCGUGGUUUUAUGUCUUCAGUUUCAUUGUUAAUAUAUUUUAUUCUCACUACAGAUCUAUACGGAACUUGAGAUUACAGAUUUGUUUUGUCUCAAGGUGUGUGUAUAAUAGAGGCUGAAUCAGGAUUAGAUGAGAUGAGAAGUGAAUGUGAAAUCCCACUAUUACCGAAAGGCAGCAGCUCGAAUACCAUAUAUGGAGAAAGGGAUAUUGGAUUGGAUUGAAGAAGCAAAGCUGGUGGAAUGGCUUAUUUUUUGUUUUGUCAUUCUGGUGACACACAAUGGAUAAUUAAGAGGUUUCAUGGAGAUGAUGGUAUUAAAGAUGGCUGAGUACCUGCUGUGUUAUGAGUGUUAGCUACCCGCAGCUAGAGAUCAUUCUGGGUGCUGAGAAAGUGAGCCUCUCAAUAAGGUCUUUCAAGGGUAUCAAAACGGAGCAGUCAAAGUCGAGGCGAUGAGGUUGGAUUUUGAAAGCUUGGGAAACAUAUGUUUUCAGCAAUUGCUUCGGAUAGUGGGAUGGAGAUCAAAAUAUAUUUCCAGAGAUUUUGUCCGAAUGGAGUAGGGGUACUAUUUUAUUAUCUUGAAACUGGUAGUUAUCACUCAGUUGGAGUCAGCUUACAAGUAAGAAUCUGUAUGGCACAGAGGGACGGCGUACAACUGCACGUCGGAUUGAAUCUAACUGGUUAAAGUCCACUUCUCAACAAUUGCAUAGAUAAUUCUUAACCAAAUUGCAUAGAUAAUUCUUAUAUAUUGGCUUUGUGUAUUUUAAGUUACAUGAAGAAUGCGAGUGUAGUUAAUAUUUUGCCUUAAAACUAGAUGAUUCAAUUGAAACUCUGUCGGGAAGUAUUCUAAGGAAAUGUAGGAUUUGGAAAUAGUAUCUGAACUUGUUACUGGUAGGAAUCUGGAUUUGCAUUUGUUCUGAUUCUGUCUCCAUGUUAAUCAGUCCCUGAUUAUUCGGCAAUGGAGUUUUAGUGGGUAUUGCGAUCUCCAUGGAUGAGCAGUGAUAUUUCGAGCUUACAUGAAGACGUUAGAGUAUCCAGAUAAGUACGGGUAAGUAGUCUUUUCUUAUCAGCCUAACUUUAAUUUGAAUGGCGAAUUCUCUUUCAUAGAAAAUCCUGAAACAUGAUUAAAAUGUAUAUAUCUUUAUUGAGUGAGAUGCUUCUUAGUGAUAAUAUUGUAGGAAACUUAGUAGGCAUUGUUGUAGUAAGUUCUAUAGUUCGAAGGAGCCAUCAAUGUUGAUUCAUCUGUUAAGUCUAAAUUCAGCCGUUAGUAAACUGUAACAAACACCACCCCUUUUUCAAGUAUAAUGAAGGAUUUGCAAUUUCAGUAAAUCAAGACACAUUUUAUUAUUAUUUUUUCUGUGACUUAUAUGCCGUAUUCAUUUAUAAUAACUGGCAUAGUGCACCGAGGUAAAAUUUGAACUUGUGAGUUCGAAGUUUCAAUAGAAUGUAAAAAGGAUGAGGUGACAUGAUUCUAUGGCUAUAUGUUACAAAAAGUUACAGUUUCUUGACUGAGGUUGGCUGCAUUGGUGGUGAGAGCAUCUGUUGCUCGUUCUGCUUCGUAGGCAUGAGGAUGAGGUACCUGUGAUGGUGGUAUGGUUCUCAUUUAUUAAUAAGUGGCAUCGUGCACGAUGUAAAGUUUGAACUUGUUGGUCCAAAGUUUCAACAGAAUGUAAAGAGGAUGGAGUGACAUGAUUCUAUGUCUAUGUGUUACAAAAAGUUACAGCUUCUUGACUGAAGUUGGCUGUGUUGGAGGUGAGAGCAUCUGCUUUUUUGUAGGCAUGAUGUACCUCUGAUGGUGGUAUGGUUUGAAAGUGUUGGGUUGAUCUUGGUAAUGAUCUUUGCCAGGUUACCAUAGUGGUGUUUGGUUCUUGAUUACACAAUUCACUAAAGUAAGUGAACUUCAGGACUAGCACAAAUGCCAAGUAUAUAGAGUUGCUGCACUUAUAAACCUCUAAGCUUCUGCAGUUCCCAUCAAGGCGAAGUAGAGUGCAUCCCAAUGGUUUCUGCAAAUGUCCACAAUUUCAGCGAAAAUCAGGUGCACGUCUUGAAGCUCCAACUGGGUUGAUCUUUAGUGUAACCCACUGGUUUGGUGGUGGCUGACACCCAGUUAUAUUGGUAUGGGUUUGUCGUGGUACGAUGGCUAAGGUGGAAGAAGGAGACAUGCUCUGAAUUAUAAUGGAGUGGAUAUGGAGAAAUGUUCCAAAAGCAUAUGGCUAUAGAUACUUGGGUUUUCUGUGCCAGCUCCAUGAAGAUGG
Papaver somniferum (opium poppy) is the source of this 2513-nucleotide long non-coding RNA. RefSeq lists it as uncharacterized. The record is from RefSeq and is a predicted model, not a curated record. The transcript has 3 exons. NCBI's taxonomy places the organism in Eukaryota, Viridiplantae, Streptophyta, Magnoliopsida, Ranunculales, Papaveraceae.